This 916-nucleotide ribosomal RNA is filed under the name uncultured archaeon. Its description in RNAcentral is "bacterial SSU rRNA". It matches the Rfam family "Archaeal small subunit ribosomal RNA", at positions 1 to 922 of the family's 1478-position model. The record is from RNAcentral.
UUCCGGUUGAUCCUGCCGGACCUGACUGCUUAUCGGAAUGAUACUAAGCCAUGUGAGUCAUUGUAGUAAUACAAGGCAGACGCUUCAGUAACACGUAGGCCAAUCUAACCUAUGGACGGGGAUAACCUCGGGAAACUGAGGAUAAACCCCGAUAGAUCAUUAUGCCUGGAAAGGUUUAUGGUUCAAAUGAUUCGUCGCCAUAGGAUGAGACUGCGGCCUAUCAGCUUGUUGGUGAGGUAAUGGCCCACCAAGGCUAUUACAGGUACGGGCUCUGAGAGGAGAAGCCCGGAGAUGGGUACUGAGACACGGACCCAGGUCCUAUGGGGCGCAGCAGGCGAGAAACCUUUGCAAUGUGCGCAAGCACGACAAGGUUAAUCCGAGUGUUUCCUGCUUAAGGAAUCUUUUGUUAGUCCUAAAAACACUAGUGAAUAAGGGGUGGGCAAGUUCUGGUGUCAGCCGCCGCGGUAAAACCAGCACCUCAAGUGGUCAGGAGGAUUAUUCGGCCUAAAGCAUCCGUAGCUUGCUCUGUAAGUUUCCGGUUGAAUCCAUUAGCUCAACUAAUGGGCUGCAGGAAAAACUGCAGAGCUAGGAAGUGGGAGAGGUAGACGGUACUCGGUAGGAAGGGGUAAAAUCCUUUGAUCUAUUGAUGACCACCUGUGGCGAAGGCGGUCUACCAGAACACGUUCGACAGUGAGGGAUGAAAGCUGGGGGAGCAAACCGGAUUAGAUACCCGGGUAGUCCCAGCUGUAAACGAUGCAGACUCGGUGAUGCGCUGGCUUGUGGCCAGUGCAGUGCCGCAGGGAAGCCGUUAAGUUUGCCGCCUGGGAAGUACGUACGCAAGUAUGAAACUUAAAGGAAUUGGCGGGGGAGCACCACAAGGGGUGAAGCCUGCGGUUCAAUUGGAAUCAACGCCGGA